RNAcentral lists this ribosomal RNA (484 nucleotides) under uncultured bacterium. RNAcentral's name for it is "partial 16S ribosomal RNA". It matches the Rfam family "Bacterial small subunit ribosomal RNA", at positions 30 to 507 of the family's 1533-position model. The record is from RNAcentral.
AUUGAACGCUGGCGGCAGGCCUAACACAUGCAAGUCGAGCGGAUGAAGGGGGCUUGCUCCUGGAUUCAGCGGCGGACGGGUGAGUAAUGCCUAGGAAUCUGCCUGGUAGUGGGGGAUAACGUCCGGAAACGGGCGCUAAUACCGCAUACGUCCUGAGGGAGAAAGUGGGGGAUUUUCGGACCUCACGCUAUCAGAUGAGCCUAGGUCGGAUUAGCUAGUUGGUGGGGUAAAGGCCUACCAAGGCGACGAUCCGUAACUGGUCUGAGAGGAUGAUCAGUCACACUGGAACUGAGACACGGUCCAGACUCCUACGGGAGGCAGCAGUGGGGAAUAUUGGACAAUGGGCGAAAGCCUGAUCCAGCCAUGCCGCGUGUGUGAAGAAGGUCUUCGGAUUGUAAAGCACUUUAAGUUGGGAGGAAGGGCAGUAAGUUAAUACCUUGCUGUUUUGACGUUACCAACAGAAUAAGCACCGGCUAACUUCGUG